This 468-nucleotide ribosomal RNA is filed under the name uncultured bacterium. Its description in RNAcentral is "partial 16S ribosomal RNA". It matches the Rfam family "Bacterial small subunit ribosomal RNA", at positions 28 to 507 of the family's 1533-position model. The record is from RNAcentral.
GACGAACGCUGGCGGCGUGCUUAACACAUGCAAGUCGAACGGACAGGCGCUGCUUUUGUGGGGUGCUCGAGUGGCGAACGGGUGAGUAACACGUGAGUAACCUGCACUUGACUUUGGGAUAACUUCUGGAAACUGGGGCUAUUACCGGAUAGGAGCUCCUGCUGCACGGGGGGGGUUGGAAAGUUUCGGCGGUUCGGGCUGGACUCGCGGCUUCUCAGCUGGUUGGUGGGGUUGUGGCUUACCAAGGCUUUGACGGGUAGCAGGCCUGAGAGGGUGACCGGCCACAGUGGGACUGAGAUACGGCCCAGACUCCUACGGGAGGCAGCAGUGGGGAAUAUUGCACAAUGGGCGGAAGCCUGAUGCAGCAACGCCGCGUGCGGGAUGACGGCCUUCGGGUUGUAAACCGCUUUCGCCUGUGACGAAGCGUGAGUGACGGUAAUGGGUAAAGAAGCACCGGCUAACUACGUG